Molecule: long non-coding RNA, 445 nt
Organism: Ooceraea biroi (clonal raider ant)
Lineage: Eukaryota; Metazoa; Arthropoda; Insecta; Hymenoptera; Formicidae
Source: RefSeq, a predicted model, not a curated record
GCGUUCUCGCUCGUGACGAAAUUUUAACCCGACAGCUCGCGCACGGCAAGUCGAACACGUGCGCGCGAGCUGCGCGAUCUACGGGGUGUUGCGAUCGCGCACGUUUUGCAGCAGUGCGAUUUUCGCGACGUUCGCUAGCCGCAUUUCUCUCUCCUGUCGGGAUAUUGCACACACAUCCUCGGACUCGUCCUCUGAACCUUCACCAAGACUUACUGAAAAAAAACAGAAAUUUUUCAAGGAAACAAAGAAAAAAAUCUGAUCUAAUUCAAAGGAGAAGAGAAGACAGGAGACAAAAGAUAAGACGGAUCCGGAAAUUCGGUGCUUUUAAUUCUUGGACAAUCUUCUUGAAUCUCCAUUUGAUCAUCGCCGGAAGAACACCUUGCACGCUCAGCGUGUUCAAUCGGAUGCGGAUCAUCCAGUAUUUCGAUACGUGACAUUUGAUAGU